UAUUACCAAUAUAUCAAAAUAUAUCAGUGCCAUUGAUUUGUCUCAAGUUACACACCAGUAAUAUUGCCCGAAGACCUGGCUGUGAAACCAGGCCUUAAAGUUUUCCUCUAACUAGAUGAAACAUCUUGGUUAUGUAUGGUAACCCUUGUUGCCUGAAGGAGGGAAUGGAGAGGUGACGUCGGUGACCAACGAAUUGGGAUAUUGCUUCAAUAGAACGAUCUACUUUGAGGGUAAACUAAACGAGCCAAUGCACAUUGGCAUGUAAUUAUUACAUUCAGCUGCAGCUGAUGAUCGUGAGUAUAAGGCAGCAGCAAGUGCAAUGCAUAACAGAUUUUCGCUGAUGAGCCGAGCCGGUGACCCUGCCUCUCAGUGGUGGUACAGCAGCCAUAGCGACGGGACGUGACCAACGAAUUGGGAUUGCCUACCAAAGCACCAUAGGUGCUUCCCCUUCCAGUGCACUGUGCAAUCCACCUGUGGUCCUUUUUGGUGUAGGCCGGGGGUCACAACAAGUAGUUCCAUUCACAAUUGUCAAAGCACUACCCACUCAGUGAGACUGGUUAACACUGGGAAAACGUACCCAUUCCAAUUGGAACAGAGACACUGCCGAAGCUCCAUCCUUCCUGUUGGCUCGUUUAGUUUACACUUUGACAUUGGUCACCGACAUGACGUCAAGAGUGACCAACUGAAAGGGAACCAGUGAAAUCUCAGUGAUCCAAUACCUAAUAUAUUCCAUAUCCAACUGGCUGCAUUUGUGUCAUGUGGUUCAGCUUUUUUUGCUAGAAAAACUCCCCAAUAUCUUCCAUAACAUUCUUGUGAGCCUUGCCAGUUUGUGCUUGCUUAAGAUGCAGCAUAACAUUGCAUUCAAUAUUCGGUCCUGAUUUAGAAGAAAACAGUGGGAAAAAUAGUGGGGAUCCACUAUUUGUAAACGGUGACAUGAGCCGCGUCCGAAAUCGCAUACUUCCAUACUAUAUAGUAGGCGAAAAACAGUAUGCGAAGCAAGUAGUAUGUCCGAAUUCUUAGUAUUCGAAAAACAGUAGGUGAGAUGUACCCGGAUGGCCUACUACUUCCUGCCGAAUUCCGUAGUAUGCAUAGGAUGGACACUUCUCUAUCCCAUGAGGCACCGGGAGAGGGCUCGUCAUACUCAAAUUCGAAAAUAACGGAAAAUCAUGACGCCGCUGUUUUGAAGUAGACUGAUGAACACAAUCUUGUUCUCAUCCACUGAUGAAACCCUAUUCACUGGAAAGCAUAAUUCAGUAAUCUGCUCUUGAAGAGCUGCACACGGUCACCUGCUGUGACACAGCUGUGGUCCGUUUGUCCCGCACAUGCUCUUCUGUGCUGACUUCUGUGUUUUGGGGUUCCAGUGUAUCAUCGUCAUGAUCCUCCACAACUUCUGGAUCAGCAAUGUCCUCAUUCAGAAGACGGAGGUUGUGGAGCACUGCACAGCAUGCAGCAACAUCUGCACAAAGGCAGAACUCACUUCCAGGGCCUUGAAGAAGAAGAUGGAGCACAGCUGGUCUUCAUCAUCCUGAAGGCUCUCUCAACAAUGUUCUGUGCACGAGCAUCAUUGGUGUUGAAUCAAAGCUGUGCAGGAUUCUGUUCAGGCUCUCUGUCUGCUGUGAUGAGGCAGAUGAACACUCACACAAGGACACACACACCAUCUCCCAGAUGUGUUUUCCUGCAGGUGGAUAGGCCUCCAGAGUUCUUCAGCACCCUGGCAUCAUACACAGACCCGGGAUACUCAACAAAGAUAUCAAGGUACUUACCAUGGUGGUGACCUGCAGCUGAACAGAAUGAAACCACUUCCUGUUGAAAUAACAUUGGGCUUCACUUGCUGGAGGUUCAGUUUGUAUGUGACAGCCAUCUAUGGUGUCAGCUACCAGAAGAAAAGCUGCUUCCACUGCCUCCAGGUCAUCUGUGGUGGAGAAGGCAAUCAGCCUCCU
Molecule: long non-coding RNA, 1940 nt
Organism: Carassius auratus (goldfish)
Lineage: Eukaryota; Metazoa; Chordata; Actinopteri; Cypriniformes; Cyprinidae
Exons: 3
Source: RefSeq, a predicted model, not a curated record